AUUAGAAUCAAGAGAUAUUGGGAAAGGCCUCCUAUAGAAGGUGGGGGGACUUCAAGAAAGCCAGGUGAAGGCAAGAAGGAACCCAGAAGACAUUGUCUGACAACCUACCAGGCAUAUUAAGUUUUCAAAAAAGUUCUCUUACUCAUGGCAAAGGAAGAGAUAAAAGCUCACAUCUGCUGUGCCACCAUUUCACCCCACACGGGCAUCAGUUCCCAGCAAGCAAUACAAGGAUCUAAGACAUCUCCAGAGGCCUCAUGAUG
Molecule: non-coding RNA, 260 nt
Organism: Phascolarctos cinereus (koala)
Lineage: Eukaryota; Metazoa; Chordata; Mammalia; Diprotodontia; Phascolarctidae
Source: RefSeq, a predicted model, not a curated record